GUGUAAGAGUUAUGUACUACAGUGAACCUCGCAUGACCUUUAAUGUGACCAAGGGCUCUACGACAAGCUGGUGCACUGGCUUUUCCUGGGGCCCAAAACGCACCACACAGAAAUAAUUCCUGCUUUUUAAUCACUCCGUGAGGUCUGUCCUGUAAAGUACUUAAACUCAAUUCAGCCUGCAAGUUAGGCUAGCAUAACUAGGGUGGACUAACAGCAAAACUGCGAUACUAUGUGGUAUUUUGGCAGAUGUUUACAGGCUGUAAAAACUUAUUUAAUGCUCAGAAUCACUUAAGACAUUCAGGAAGUACUGACUUUGAUUCCAGCUAUAGCGUUAUGCACUCAUAUAGUCUGUGACUAUCCGAGAAGUAAUUACGAUAUUUGUUCCUACGCGUUGGGGGGUUGUGUCAAGUUGAAAAGUAGCUUUAAUGAUCGACUGUUUUGACAAAGAAGAAGAAGAAGAACAAGAAGAAGAAGAAGAAGAAGAAGAAUUUUCAUAAUAAUCACCAAUCACAACAUAACCAGUCUAGCCGCAUCAAGUCAUUAGCUCAAGUAAUCCACUUGUGGCUUGGUGCCUUGAUUAUGCGAUCACACCAAGGGACUAAAGACUAAACCUGGUUCAGCACAGACCGCAGGAGCAGCACAGUAGGAGUAUCUUCAUACACAAGGCCUCUGCGGUGAGUUACUGGGUGCUGCUGUGUGCUGGAGAUACCUUGAAGGUCUUGAGCUGAUCUUGGUGGACUGGUGGAGGAUGACACAGAACAAAUGGCUGUUUAAAUACUCACUGAAGCUGAGAACUGACAGCCAAACAACUUGGGAACUGGUGACUGGAUAAACGAGGUGACCGCGAACAGUCAUGGGAUGUGGCGUCACAAAGUCUAACCAUUUCCACAAACAUUCCAGAAAAG
Molecule: long non-coding RNA, 905 nt
Organism: Scatophagus argus
Lineage: Eukaryota; Metazoa; Chordata; Actinopteri; Scatophagidae
Exons: 3
Source: RefSeq, a predicted model, not a curated record